GUCCAACAAGAAAUCCCACUUAAGAAAGGAGAUGUAAGAAAGAAUGGACUUCUCCUUUCUUCACACGUGAACACUUUCACCGUGCGCACAAUGUAGGGCAAAUAAAAUCAGCCUUCUCCCUUCUUUGGUCGGCCACCUUAUGAGAGAGAGUCUCAGGUAAUUGGGACUCUUUGGUUCUUAAUCAAAUGGGCUCAGAUUUGACUCAUUUUGAAUCUAAUUUGAACCCGAUUCGAACC
RNAcentral lists this long non-coding RNA (236 nucleotides) under Elaeis guineensis (African oil palm). RNAcentral's name for it is "long non-coding RNA (EGUI_LNC029348)". The record is from RNAcentral. Lineage: Eukaryota; Viridiplantae; Streptophyta; Magnoliopsida; Arecales; Arecaceae.